RNAcentral lists this ribosomal RNA (253 nucleotides) under uncultured bacterium. RNAcentral describes it as "partial 16S ribosomal RNA". It matches the Rfam family "Bacterial small subunit ribosomal RNA", at positions 524 to 776 of the family's 1533-position model. The record is from RNAcentral.
UACGUAGGGUGCAAGCGUUAAUCGGAAUUACUGGGCGUAAAGCGUGCGCAGGCGGUUAUGGAAGACAGAUGUGAAAUCCCCGGGCUCAACCUGGGAACUGCAGUUGUGACUGCAUAGCUAGAGUACGGUAGAGGGGGAUGGAAUUCCGCGUGUAGCAGUGAAAUGCGUAGAUAUGCGGAGGAACACCGAUGGCGAAGGCAAUCCCCUGGACCUGUACUGACGCUCAUGCACGAAAGCGUGGGGAGCAAACAGG